GCCCCGGUGGCGGAAUGGCAGACGCAACGGACUUAAAAUCCGUUGGCCGCAAGGCCGUGCUGGUUCGACUCCAGCCCGGGGCACCA
RNAcentral lists this transfer RNA (86 nucleotides) under Gammaproteobacteria bacterium. Its description in RNAcentral is "tRNA-Leu". It matches the Rfam family "tRNA". Rfam says of the family: Transfer RNA (tRNA) molecules are approximately 80 nucleotides in length. The record is from RNAcentral. Lineage: Bacteria; Pseudomonadati; Pseudomonadota; Gammaproteobacteria.